RNAcentral lists this transfer RNA (82 nucleotides) under Blyttiomyces helicus. It matches the Rfam family "tRNA". Rfam says of the family: Transfer RNA (tRNA) molecules are approximately 80 nucleotides in length. Their secondary structure includes four short double-helical elements and three loops (D, anti-codon, and T loops). Further hydrogen bonds mediate the characteristic L-shaped molecular structure. tRNAs have two regions of fundamental functional importance: the anti-codon, which is responsible for specific mRNA codon recognition, and the 3' end, to which the tRNAs corresponding amino acid is attached (by aminoacyl-tRNA synthetases). tRNAs cope with the degeneracy of the genetic code in two manners: having more than one tRNA (with a specific anti-codon) for a particular amino acid; and 'wobble' base-pairing, i.e. permitting non-standard base-pairing at the 3rd anti-codon position. Lineage: Eukaryota; Fungi; Chytridiomycota; Chytridiomycetes. The record is from Rfam by way of RNAcentral.
GACACGAUGGCCGAGUGGUUAAGGCGAUUGACUAGAAAUCAAUUGGGGUUCCCCCGCGCAGGUUCGAAUCCUGCUCGUGUCG